AGUAGACAGCUUUGCAGGCUGUUCUUGUGUUUGCAGUCCCUGUGUAUAGCCUUCUCAAAAUACAAACGGCAUAUUUUGAGGCGAGUGCUGACCUCACCUUGCAAAGCUCUCUGAAGUGUCUGAGCAGAGGGUCCACUCCUCCCCGGCAUACCUUUGCAGCAAUAUCCUGGCAGAUACUUUAUGUCAUGUUGCCAUGAACUGCAUUGUUCUGCCCCAAGCCCCAGGCUACUGGAAAAAAUGGUUGAAGACCUGAAAACUGUGACCCCUGUUGCCUAGCAACUGAGAAGCUCAGCCUCAACUCCGGGUGGGGGAGAUGAUGGAGAAAGGUACUGCAUUUUGAUAAAUUGAAGGUUUGUGGAACGCUGCAUUGAGCAAGUCUAUUGGUACCAUUUUCCAACAGCAUGUGCUCACUUCAUGUCUCUGUGCCACAUUUGGAAUGAAGAGAAUCUGAACUAAGAUGGGGUGAAAGUAGGAAAUCAUUCCCCCAUGUCAAGUGCAAGGGCUAUCCAGUUAGAGGCCAACACAGAUGUCUGAUCAAAGGUAAAAGUCUUUGUGUGCUUGCAACAAGGGAAGUUGUCUAAUAGGGUCUGAAGACAGAAAGUCCUGUGGUUGUGUCCUGCCCUUCUCCUGCCACACUGGGCCUGCCUUCAGCAGCAAUGUCCCUUGGUGGUUGUCCGCCCUCUGCCACCUGCCUUCAUUUACUCUUGCAGUGGGGUUUAUUUACUCUCACUAUCAUUUGGAUAUACAAAGAAAUUUUAAUUCCCUUAUUUUUCAGACAUCAACCUGACCUUCCUUAUCAGCACUUGGUAAUGAUGGUGCUGACAGGUAACACAGUACAAUCCAGUUAAACCCUUCAUCUGAUUCAAUCGUUUAACUUUUUUUUGAGGUUUAAUUUAGGAUUUUAUUAUAUUUUACCAGUCUUUUAGAUUCCACUCUGCUGCUUUCCAGUAUGGUGCAGAGGGAAUAUAGUUCCUGAGGAGAGGUGCCCAUGACUGCCAGGUUUUGGAGGAAGGGGUGGCCUAGCCUCAUAUUGGUUCUUGGGGCAUUCUGGCUGGCAUCUGCUGAGGGAUGUUUGGUGUGCCCCUAUCCCUGGUCAUUCUAUGGUAUCCACCCAUGACAACUGUGGCCGCUAAUCUCAUGGUCUAUUGUUUCUCAGACUUGGUCAGGGCCUGGCCAGCUUGCCCCAAACAUUUGCAAGGCUGGGGGCAAGGCUGCUAUGAUAUAUGAAUACCUAAAAGUUAGCAAUCAAGCUGACACACUUUUAAAUAUGUUCCAUUCCUUUACCUUGACAAAUAUAUCUUUAUAAUGAC
This 1310-nucleotide long non-coding RNA is filed under the name Homo sapiens (human). Its description in RNAcentral is "HSALNT0332237". The record is from RNAcentral. Lineage: Eukaryota; Metazoa; Chordata; Mammalia; Primates; Hominidae.